GCAAUUGCGUAAUUUUGACGAAUUUUUUUUACGAAUAUUUGCGUAUGACCAGAGAAACAUUUAAUCUACUUCUCAGUAAAUUUAUAGAAAAAUUAACUCAUUGGAUUCUGUAAAAAAGCAUAGCAAGCUGAAAAACGACUAGCAAUUAAUAUUUGUCCCAUUUUUUUCUUCUGUAAUGCCUGGCGCCUACUCGCUAUAAUUCGCCUUCUAUACAUUUACUAUGAAACUGCAUCUAUUGACGAAAAGCCGCGGCGCGCCGAUUCAAAUUUACCGAGCACAACGCUCGUCAGGCGAAUUACUGUGGCGACGCGUUUCGACUCGACUCGGCGCGCCUCAGUCAACGCAAGGUAGCCCGGGGCCGCGACACUUCGUUUCAUAGUAAACAUAAGGCAAUAAGGUGUCGACUACGGUGAAAUCGCGUCGAAUCGAGUUGCCUUGAAUUUGCUCCGUGUGCGUUCAUUACAGACGAAUUAUUGCGAUUCGAUUCGGUUCUCCUGUCGACGCCAACCUUAAGUACGCCGCCUGUCUGCGGAUGUAGCUUUACAUCUGUGCUACUAGUUGUCGCAUGCAUUGUCACUAUAAAUGUCAAAACUAACUACUAACAUUUAUAAGGCUUCAAGUCGGUCUCGGAAAUAUAUUUUGGGUUUUGCACAUCAAUGUUUAAAGUCGAUACACAAGUACAUUAUAGGAAGUAAAAAUAUGGUUGUCGAAGAGAAUAAACUUGUCUGACUCACCAAAACUAACCGUUGUUGAGAAUGAAAAGAGUUACACAUUCCCGACGAUAUAGAUGUAAACCUGCUGACGCGGCAGUGGGCGCCGUCAACAGCUACGCCCGCCAGACUUGCGGCCCCACGGCGUCCUUUUAAGCGCAAGUAAUCACAGCUAACCCUCCAAGAUCAAUAGUAACCUAUACGGAGUGAGCCCUGAAAUACGUACUAAAACUGAACGGUAAGUAAUUUAGCCUUAAUUAUUAUUUUCAAGCGGUUUGAUACAAGACAUUGUAGACAAAAACUGUUUGAAUGCAA
Molecule: long non-coding RNA, 1025 nt
Organism: Cydia pomonella (codling moth)
Lineage: Eukaryota; Metazoa; Arthropoda; Insecta; Lepidoptera; Tortricidae
Exons: 3
Source: RefSeq, a predicted model, not a curated record